CCUACGGGAGGCAGCAGUGGGGAAUAUUGGGCAAUGGGCGCAAGCCUGACCCAGCAACGCCGCGUGAAGGAAGAAGGCUUUCGGGUUGUAAACUUCUUUUGUCAGGGAAGAGUAGAAGACGGUACCUGACGAAUAAGCCACGGCUAACUACGUGCCAGCAGCCGCGGUAAUACGUAGGUGGUAAGCGUUGUCCGGAUUUACUGGGUGUAAAGGGCGUGUAGCCGGGUUGACAAGUCAGAUGUGAAAUCCUGCGGCUUAACCGCAGAACUGCAUUUGAAACUGUUGAUCUUGAGUACUGGAGAGGCAGACGGAAUUCCUAGUGUAGCGGUGAAAUGCGUAGAUAUUAGGAGGAACACCAGUGGCGAAGGCGGUCUGCUGGACAGCAACUGACGGUGAGGCGCGAAAGCGUGGGGAACAAACAGGAUUAGAUACCCCAGUAGUC
RNAcentral lists this ribosomal RNA (442 nucleotides) under uncultured bacterium. RNAcentral's name for it is "partial 16S ribosomal RNA". It matches the Rfam family "Bacterial small subunit ribosomal RNA", at positions 338 to 795 of the family's 1533-position model. The record is from RNAcentral.